GGGUACCGCUACCUCUUACGCUUGCUCUAACGUUCGGUAUAAACGUUGGGCUGGCG
RNAcentral lists this non-coding RNA (56 nucleotides) under Burkholderia sp. KJ006. Lineage: Bacteria; Pseudomonadati; Pseudomonadota; Betaproteobacteria; Burkholderiales; Burkholderiaceae. RNAcentral also lists the same sequence under 1 other name. The record is from RNAcentral.